Non-coding RNA from Gossypium raimondii (Peruvian cotton), 104 nucleotides. The record is from Rfam. NCBI's taxonomy places the organism in Eukaryota, Viridiplantae, Streptophyta, Magnoliopsida, Malvales, Malvaceae.
AAUCCGUGGUGCAGGCAUUUUAGAAUCAACAUUUUAAAUCGUUCAGAUGCCUCACAAAAACUUUCUCUCUCCUAUCUAAAAAUAACAAUCUCUCUUCUUAGUUG